This 812-nucleotide ribosomal RNA is filed under the name Streptomyces sp. E32chef7. Its description in RNAcentral is "bacterial SSU rRNA". It matches the Rfam family "Bacterial small subunit ribosomal RNA", at positions 103 to 925 of the family's 1533-position model. The record is from RNAcentral. Lineage: Bacteria; Bacillati; Actinomycetota; Actinomycetes; Kitasatosporales; Streptomycetaceae.
CGGGUGAGUAACACGUGGGCAAUCUGCCCUGCACUCUGGGACAAGCCCAGGAAACGGGGUCUAAUACCGGAUACUGACCCCCGCAGGCGUCUGCGGGGUUCGAAAGCUCCGGCGGUGCAGGAUGAGCCCGCGGCCUAUCAGCUUGUUCGGUGAGGUAAUGGCUCACCAAGGCGACGACGGGAAGCCGGCCUGAGAGGGCGACCGGCCACACUGUGACUGAGCCGAUCCCAACUCUCAUACGGGAGGCAGCAGUGGGGAAUAUUGCACAAUGGGCGAAAGCCUGAUGCAGCGACGCCGCGUGAGGGAUGACGGCCUUCGGGUUGUAAACCUCUUUCAGCAGGGAAGAAGCGAAAGUGACGGUACCUGCAGAAGAAGCGCCGGCUAACUACGUGCCAGCAGCCGCGGUAAUACGUAGGGCGCGAGCGUUGUCCGGAAUUAUUGGGCGUAAAGAGCUCGUAGGCGGCUUGUCACGUCGGUUGUGAAAGCCCGGGGCUUAACCCCGGGUCUGCAGUCGAUACGGGCAGGCUAGAGUUCGGUAGGGGAGAUCGGAAUUCCUGGUGUAGCGGUGAAAUGCGCAGAUAUCAGGAGGAACACCGGUGGCGAAGGCGGAUCUCUGGGCCGAUACUGACGCUGAGGAGCGAAAGCGUGGGGAGCGAACAGGAUUAGAUACCCUGGUAGUCCACGCCGUAAACGGUGGGCACUAGGUGUGGGCGACAUUCCACGUCGUCCGUGCCGCAGCUAACGCAUUAAGUGCCCCGCUCUGGGAGUACGGCCGCAAGGCUUAAAACUCAAGGAAUUGACGGGGGCCCGCA